Molecule: ribosomal RNA, 749 nt
Filed under: uncultured bacterium
Lineage: Bacteria
Description: bacterial SSU rRNA
Rfam family: Bacterial small subunit ribosomal RNA
Source: RNAcentral
UCGAGCGAGUCUGCCUUGAAGAUCGGAGUGCUUGCACUCUGUGAAACAAGAUACAGGCUAGCGGCGGACGGGUGAGUAACACGUGGGUAACCUGCCCAAGAGAUCGGGAUAACACCUGGAAACAGAUGCUAAUACCGGAUAACAACAGAUGAUGCCUAUCAACUGUUUAAAAGAUGGUUCUGCUAUCACUCUUGGAUGGACCUGCGGUGCAUUAGCUAGUUGGUAGGGUAACGGCCUACCAAGGCGAUGAUGCAUAGCCGAGUUGAGAGACUGAUCGGCCACAUUGGGACUGAGACACGGCCCAAACUCCUACGGGAGGCAGCAGUAGGGAAUCUUCCACAAUGGACGCAAGUCUGAUGGAGCAACGCCGCGUGAGUGAAGAAGGGUUUCGGCUCGUAAAGCUCUGUUGUUGGUGAAGAAGGACAGGGGUAGUAACUGACCUUUGUUUGACGGUAAUCAAUUAGAAAGUCACGGCUAACUACGUGCCAGCAGCCGCGGUAAUACGUAGGUGGCAAGCGUUGUCCGGAUUUAUUGGGCGUAAAGCGAGUGCAGGCGGUUCGAUAAGUCUGAUGUGAAAGCCUUCGGCUCAACCGGAGAAUUGCAUCAGAAACUGUCGAGCUUGAGUACAGAAGAGGAGAGUGGAACUCCAUGUGUAGCGGUGAAAUGCGUAGAUAUAUGGAAGAACACCGGUGGCGAAGGCGGCUCUCUGGUCUGUUACUGACGCUGAGGCUCGAAAGCAUGGGUAGCGA